GACGAACCGUGCGAACGUUGUUCGGAAUCACUGGGCUUAAAGGGCGCGUAGGCGGGCUGUCAAGUCUGGGGUGAAAUGCUGCGGCUCAACCGUAGAACUGCCUUAGAUACUGACGGCCUCGAGGGAGGUAGGGGCAUGCGGAACUGUAGGUGGAGCGGUGAAAUGCGUUGAUAUCUACAGGAACUCCGGUGGCGAAAGCGGCGUGCUGGACCGCUUCUGACGCUGAGGCGCGAAAGCUAGGGGAGCAAACGGG
RNAcentral lists this ribosomal RNA (253 nucleotides) under uncultured bacterium. RNAcentral describes it as "partial 16S ribosomal RNA". It matches the Rfam family "Bacterial small subunit ribosomal RNA", at positions 524 to 776 of the family's 1533-position model. The record is from RNAcentral.